RNAcentral lists this ribosomal RNA (253 nucleotides) under uncultured bacterium. RNAcentral's name for it is "partial 16S ribosomal RNA". It matches the Rfam family "Bacterial small subunit ribosomal RNA", at positions 524 to 776 of the family's 1533-position model. The record is from RNAcentral.
UACAGAGGGUGCAAGCGUUGUUCGGAAUUAUUGGGCGUAAAGGGCGCGUAGGCGGUGCCACAAGUCACCUGUGAAAUCUCCGGGCUUAACUCGGAGCCUGCAGGCGAAACUGUGGUGCUGGAGUGUGGGAGAGGUGCGUGGAAUUCCCGGUGUAGCGGUGAAAUGCGUAGAGAUCGGGAGGAACACCAGAGGCGAAAGCGGCGACCUGGACAAGCACUGACACUCAACUACGAAAGCGUGGGGAGCAAACAGG